RNAcentral lists this ribosomal RNA (328 nucleotides) under Mesobuthus eupeus (lesser Asian scorpion). RNAcentral's name for it is "partial 16S ribosomal RNA". Lineage: Eukaryota; Metazoa; Arthropoda; Arachnida; Scorpiones; Buthidae. The record is from RNAcentral.
CUUUUGCACUAAAAAGGACUUUUAAUUCAACAUCGAGGUCACAAACUCACUUGUCAAUUAGAACUUUCUAAAUAAAUUAAGCUGUUAUCCCUAAAGUAACUUAUUCUUCUUUUAAAAAUUUUAGAUACUAAAACUCAAGAUCUUUAAAUUUAAAAAAAGUUAAUUUCCCCACCGCCCCAGCAAAAUACCCAUUUCCUUCCUAAAAGAAAUAAAUAUAAAGUUUUAUAGGGUCUUCUCGUCUAUAAGAGUUAUUUUAGCCUUCUUACUAAAAAGUCAACUUCAUCUUUUUACCCCAAAAAAAUCUAUUCCAGUUUCCCCGUAAUCCCAG